This 427-nucleotide ribosomal RNA is filed under the name uncultured bacterium. Its description in RNAcentral is "partial 16S ribosomal RNA". It matches the Rfam family "Bacterial small subunit ribosomal RNA", at positions 355 to 774 of the family's 1533-position model. The record is from RNAcentral.
UGGGGAAUAUUGCACAAUGGGCGCAAGCCUGAUGCAGCCAUGCCGCGUGUAUGAAGAAGGCCUUCGGGUUGUAAAGUACUUUCAGCGGGGAGGAAGGCGAUAAGGUUAAUAACCUUGUCAAUUGACGUUACCCGCAGAAGAAGCACCGGCUAACUCCGUGCCAGCAGCCGCGGUAAUACGGAGGGUGCAAGCGUUAAUCGGAAUUACUGGGCGUAAAGCGCACGCAGGCGGUCUGUCAAGUCGGAUGUGAAAUCCCCGGGCUCAACCUGGGAACUGCAUUCGAAACUGGCAGGCUAGAGUCUUGUAGAGGGGGGUAGAAUUCCAGGUGUAGCGGUGAAAUGCGUAGAGAUCUGGAGGAAUACCGGUGGCGAAGGCGGCCCCCUGGACAAAGACUGACGCUCAGGUGCGAAAGCGUGGGGAGCAAACA